GACACAACUCCACAUGACUCAGAAGCCCUUCUUAAAAUAAGACCAGACCACAUUCAUGGAGGCUGAGUCACCUCUAACCUUCCAAACUUGUGCCUCACCAAGAAUGAAAGACAACCUAUGCAAAAACGAUGGAUUUUCCAAUGUAAAUAAAAACCACUCCUCUCCAGAAAAUAAACAACGGCUGCUAAGAUGAUUAAAAAUAGAAGAAGAAGGAGAAGAAAGCUUUAAAAGCAUGUGAAAUUCAUUCACGUUAAAAUCUCCUACAGACACGUAAGAAGAUGAAGUGCUCCUGAUGGCUGCUUUCAAUCACUGGAAGGACCGUGAAAGAGUGAGGGAUUCCUCCCGGUGAAUGAAGCCAGCUCACCACUGUCAAGGGCAAGGGAUCAGCGUGUGUUCAUGUGGAGGCCUCUCACCAAGGGAACCUGAGAGGACAGCACAGGAAUUUCAGAGCCAGCACCCAUGGAAUGCUCAGGGAGUUCGGGUUUCAUCCAACCAGCCAGUUGACGAAUACUCUCUGAGUGCCUGUCACCCAUUGCCUCCUCUCCUGGGCAGUGAGGCCAGGCCAG
Molecule: long non-coding RNA, 566 nt
Organism: Callithrix jacchus (white-tufted-ear marmoset)
Lineage: Eukaryota; Metazoa; Chordata; Mammalia; Primates; Cebidae
Source: RefSeq, a predicted model, not a curated record